CCUACGUGAGGCAGCAGUGAGGAAUAUUGGUCAAUGGUCGCGAGCCUGAACCAGCCAAGUCGCGUGAGGGCAGCCGGUCCUAUGGAUUGUAAACCUCUUUUGUCAGGGAGCACAAGACGCCACGCGUGGCCUUCCGAGAGUACCCGAAGAAAAAGCAUCGGCUAACUCCGUGCCAGCAGCCGCGGUAAUAAGGAGGAUGCGAGCGUUAUCCGGAUUUAUUGGGUUUAAAGGGUGCGCAGGCGGACGAUCAAGUCAGCGGGAAAAUUGAGAGGGUCAACCUCUUCGAGCCGUUGAAACUGGUUUUGUGGAGUGAGCGAGAAGUAUGCGGAAUGCGCGGUGUAGCGGUGAAAUGCAGAGAUAUCACGCAGAACUCCGAUUGCGAAGGCAGCAUACCGGCGCUCAACUGACGCUCAUGCACGAAAGUGUGGGUAUCGAACAGGAUUAGAUACCCUAGUAGUC
This 459-nucleotide ribosomal RNA is filed under the name uncultured bacterium. RNAcentral describes it as "partial 16S ribosomal RNA". It matches the Rfam family "Bacterial small subunit ribosomal RNA", at positions 338 to 795 of the family's 1533-position model. The record is from RNAcentral.